Molecule: unclassified non-coding RNA, 234 nt
Filed under: plant metagenome
Description: partial contains small subunit ribosomal RNA, internal transcribed spacer 1, and 5.8S ribosomal RNA
Source: RNAcentral
UUUCCGUAGGUGAACCUGCGGAAGGAUCAUUACAGUAGUCACCCAGGUUGCCGCAAAGCCUCCUGGGUAACCUACCACCCUUUGUUUAUUACACUUUGUUGCUUUGGCAAGCCUGCCCUCGGGCUGCUGGCUCCGGCCGGCGAGCGCUUGCCAGAGGACCUAAACUCUGUUUGUCUAUACUGUCUGAGUACUAUAUAAUAGUUAAAACUUUCAACAACGGAUCUCUUGGUUCUG